CUGGUUGAUCCUGCCAGUGAUCAUAUUCUUCGAUUAAAGAUUAAGCCAUGCAUGUCCAAGAAUAACUAGGUUAAUAAGGAAUCUGCGUAUGGCUCAUUAAAUGAUUUAUUACUUCCCCCAGCACUAGCUUACAAUUGGAUAACCGUUGUAAUUCAAGGGCUAAUCAUGCAUGAAAAAUAGUUUAGUAAUAGACUAUUGCAUUUGUUAGUUACAAACCAUCAUUAUAUAAGAUGAAUCAUGACAAAUUGCGGAUCCUUAUGUAGUAAAAAACGAAGGACGACUGGGUCAGGUCUAUCCCCUAUCAGUUUUCGUAGGAAGUGUAUUGUACUUUCUAGACUAUGACGGGUAACGAAAAAUAAGGGUUUGAUUUCGGAGAAGGAGCCUGAGAGACGGCUACUACAUCUAAGGAAGGCAGCAGGCGCGCAAAUUUCCCAUUGCUUAUCAUAUAAUGUAAGCCAGGAAGUGACGAUCAAUAACAAUGUGUGACUCUUUAUGGGUUAUGCAAUUGGAAUGACUACAAUUUAAAGAGUUUAAGAAGGAUCAAUUGGAGGGCAAGUCUGGUGCCAGCAGCCGCGGUAAUUCCAGCUCCAAUAGGAUAUAUCAAAGUUGUUGCAGUUAAAAAGCUCGUAGUUGAAUUUCUGGAAGGUAGAAGUGUUUUUUUAGAGAAGCAAUUUUUUAUGGAAAGCACCGCUUUCCAUUUUGUGGAUUUCUGUUUUGUAUGAAGAUAGUUUACUCUAUUUUUAUAUAAAAUACCACUCCGUCACUGAGAGCAAAUUGGAGUGCUCAAAGCAGGCUUUAUUAGCUUUGAACAUUUUAGCUUGGAAUGACAAGAUAUGACUUUUGUUUUAUUUUGUUGGUUAUGAAAUAAAAGUAAUGAUUAACAGGAACAGUUGCGGGGGUACUCGUAUUGAUGGGUCAGAGGUGAAAUUCUUGGAUUCUUUCAAGACGAACGACUGCGAAAGCAUUUACCAAGGAUGUUUUCAUUAAUCAAGAACGAAAGCUCGGGGAUCGAAGAUGAUUAGAUACCAUCGUAGUCCGACGCCAUAAACGAUGCCGACUCGGGAUUAUUUUGUUUGUUUAAACUAAAAAAGAACACAAAGUAGCACCGUAUGAGAAAUCAAAGUCUUUGGGUUCCGGGGGGAGUAUGGUCGCAAGGCUGAAACUUAAAGGAAUUGACGGAAGAGCACACCAGAGGUGGAGCCUGCGGUUUAAUUUGACCCAACACGGGGAAACUUACCAGGUCCAGACAUGAUGAGGAUUGACAGUUUGAAAGCACUUUCUUGAUUUCAUGGGUGGUGGUGCAUGGCCGUUCUUAGUUGGUGGAGUGAUUUGUCUGGUUGAUUCCGAUAACGAACGAGACGGGGUGAAUUUACUAGUUUGUUAUAUAAUUUACGUUAUAUAAGACUUCUUUAUUCGACAACUUGGUUUACCAAGAGGAAGCGCCCCGCAAUAACAGGUCUGUGAUGCCCUUAGAUGUUCUGGGCUACACGCGCGCUACAAAUACGAAUUCAACGAGUUUCAAUUUAUUCCUUAUCCGGAAGGAUGUGGGUAAUCUUUUCAAUAUUCGUCGUGAUGGGGCUAGAUUUUUGCAAUUAUUAAUCUUCAACGAGGAAUCUCUAGUAUGUGCAAGUCAUCAGCUUGCGCAGAAUGCGUCCCUGCCCUUUGUACACACCGCCCGUCGCACCUACCGAUUGGACGAUCCGGCAAGAUGUUUGGAGUUGUUUUGAUUGUAGAGUAAUUUAUGAUGAAAAUGACAAAGCUCUUCAAACCUUAUCGUCUAGAGGAAGGUGAAGUCGUAACAAGGUC
This 1806-nucleotide ribosomal RNA is filed under the name metagenome. RNAcentral's name for it is "SSU rRNA". It matches the Rfam family "Eukaryotic small subunit ribosomal RNA". The record is from RNAcentral.